Molecule: ribosomal RNA, 458 nt
Filed under: uncultured soil bacterium
Lineage: Bacteria
Description: bacterial SSU rRNA
Rfam family: Bacterial small subunit ribosomal RNA
Source: RNAcentral
AGAGUGAACGCUGGCGGCAGGCCUAACACAUGCAAGUCGAACGGCAGCACAGGAGAGCUUGCUCUCUGGGUGGCGAGUGGCGGACGGGUGAGGAAUACGUCGGAAUCUGCCUAUUUGUGGGGGAUAACGUAGGGAAACUUACGCUAAUACCGCAUACGACCUACGGGUGAAAGCGGAGGACCUUCGGGCUUCGCGUAGAUAGAUGAGCCGACGUCGGAUUAGCUAGUGGCGGGUAAAGGCCACCAAGGCGACGAUCCGUAGCUGGUCUGAGAGGAUGAUCAGCCACACUGGAACUGAGACACGGUCCAGACUCCUACGGGAGGCAGCAGUGGGGAAUAGUUGGACAAUGGGCGCAAGCCUGAUCCAGCCAUGCCGCGUGUGUGAAGAAGGCCUUGGUGUAAGCACUUUGUACCGAAAGAAAGCACUCGGUUAAUACCGGUGUCAGUGACGGUACGAAG